Haemorhous mexicanus (house finch) is the source of this 73-nucleotide non-coding RNA. The record is from the annotation of a RefSeq genome assembly. Lineage: Eukaryota; Metazoa; Chordata; Aves; Passeriformes; Fringillidae.
GGGCCAGUGGCACAAUGGUCAAUGCACCUGACUACGGAUCAGGAGAUUGCAGGUUCGACUCCUGCCUGGCUCA